This 388-nucleotide ribosomal RNA is filed under the name uncultured bacterium. RNAcentral describes it as "bacterial SSU rRNA". It matches the Rfam family "Bacterial small subunit ribosomal RNA", at positions 29 to 416 of the family's 1533-position model. The record is from RNAcentral.
AUUGAACGCUGGCGGAAUGCUUUACACAUGCAAGUCGGGCGGCAGCGCGGGGGCAACCCUGGCGGCGAGCGGCGAACGGGUGAGUAAUACAUCGGAACGUGUCCUUGAGUGGGGGAUAGCUCGGCGAAAGCCGGAUUAAUACCGCAUAAGCUCUGAGGAGGAAAGCGGGGGACUGGUAACGGCCUCGCGCUGUUGGAGCGGCCGAUGUCGGAUUAGCUAGUUGGUGGGGUAAAGGCCCACCAAGGCGACGAUCCGUAGCUGGUCUGAGAGGAUGAUCAGCCACACUGGAACUGAGACACGGUCCAGACUCCUACGGGAGGCAGCAGUGGGGAAUUUUGGACAAUGGGGGCAACCCUGAUCCAGCCAUUCCGCGUGAGUGAAGAAGGCC